AUUGAACGCUGGCGGCAUGCCUUACACAUGCAAGUCGAACGGCAGCACGGGAGCAAUCCUGGUGGCGAGUGGCGAACGGGUGAGUAAUGUAUCGGAACGUGCCCAGUCGUGGGGGAUAACGUAACGAAAGCUACGCUAAUACCGCGUACGAUCUCUGGAUGAAAGCGGGGGAUCGCAAGACCUCGCGCGAUUGGAGCGGCCGAUAUCAGACUAGGUAGUUGGGGGGGUAAAGGCCCACCAAGCCUGCGAUCUGUAGCUGGUCUGAGAGAACGACCAGCCACACUGGAACUGAGACACGGUCCAGACUCCUACGGGAGACAGCAGUGGGGAAUUUUGGACAAUGGGCGCAAGCCUGAUCCAGCAAUGCCGCGUGCAGGAUGAAGGCCUUCGGGUUGUAAACUGCUUUUGUACGGAACGAAACGGCUUUUUCUAAUACAGAGAGCUAAUGACGGUACCGUAAGAAUAAGCACCGGCUAACUACGUGCCAGCCGCCGCAGUAA
This 500-nucleotide ribosomal RNA is filed under the name uncultured bacterium. RNAcentral's name for it is "partial 16S ribosomal RNA". It matches the Rfam family "Bacterial small subunit ribosomal RNA", at positions 30 to 523 of the family's 1533-position model. The record is from RNAcentral.